GCGUGUUUCGCAUCGCGGGUUAAAGCGCCACGACUAUCGUAUAUAUACGAUACAAUCAUACAUAUAUGUAUAAAUAACGAUACAUACCCACAUGUAUGAUACGCGUAACGCAGUGCAGUGAGAGAAAUUUAUCCGCGUUGUGUUUUAACAGAUGCAUACGUGUGUACUUUUGUACAUAUUUAUGCAUGUGUACAGUAUGAAUGUGUGCACGCACACGUGAUUCAUGCAUGUAUAAUAACGUGCACAUUAUAAAACUCACGAGAGUUACGCAAGUGCCUGACGUACCGCGGUUCUGUGUUUGCAAUUUUAAUUUUCCUUGAUUCGUUCGCCAAGAAGCCCCGAAGCAGCUGCGCAUUGGAUUUAUUUAAUUUGUGUAUUUUUAUACAUAUGUAUGUGUAUUACACGAUGUAUAUAUGCGUACGUAAUUUGGGAUUAUCAUCACGUCGCUGUCAUUACGAUUAAGAUGAUAACGAUGGAUGCUGCAUACGGGACGAGAUCGUAGAGGGUGGAGGAGGUGUGCCGCGUGUAUCGCUUGUCGACACUUCUGACAGGAUCAGGAUUAUAAUAAUAUACACGCUCUGACCUUCGACCGGUGAGAAAGAGGCGAUACGAGGCUUUUGUCUGCUGCAGCUCGGGGAGCACUUUGUACUACCAUGGAUAACGCAUGAAGGAUAAAUCGGCUCGGAAACUCGAAUUUUUCGGCAUGAAAAUAUCCGUACCAGCGAUUUUAAUGAACGAGAAAUGGAGAUAGUCAAAAGCCGGCUGAUCGCCAUGAGGAUGAUCAUGCGAGCUGUUAUCUGUUGGUACUGCUGCACAUACUGUUCGGGACCCUUUUAUACAAUCCACAACAACACCAAGAAGGAGGAACAAUGGCGGCGCGUGUAAUGUCUUCGCCUCUCCGACUCUUAUCUCUCGGGUUGAUUAUUGGACCGAAUCGAAUGAGCUUAAUGGCUGAACUUUCGACGACGAACCGAUGCCCGCGUCGUUUUCCCGAGGAAUAAAACAGACUCUGUGUGUAUGUGUCGACCAUCCGGCAAAUAAUCGAUAAUUAUAUACCGUGCGAACAUCAACGCUGUUAAAAUGGAGUUGGGUUGGCGGUCGUCUGUUGCGAUAUAAUCGAUGUAGACACACACGACGACGGUCUGUGCGCGGUCAUACAGUGUAUUAAUUAUCAACACGCACAGUCCUGCACACACAAUAUUACACAUUCGUGGAAGCGAAUCGUACAUGAGUCGUUCUUCUGAGUCAGAAACUCUGUCACUGACCGUCGGAAAGGAAGAAGGCGGCGACGAUGACUAGCCACCUUGAAUCGCCUUCUUGGUUGCCUGCAAUUGAGUGAAAAAAUUCAUGAAUUUUACCAGAGAUCCACCAACCUUUCCUCCUCGCUAUCUAUCAGCAACUACGAUGAAGCAGUCCCGCGUGCCUUGGACUUGAAUGACCGAGUGACCGGCGAUGAAUGAGUCGUCGGAAACUAGCACAACAAACCCACUCUCGCUUCGCAUUCCGAGGCAUAAAUCACCCGGACACGUGCUCAAGUUCGCGUAUACACGCCUGUGUCCCACGCGCCAUUAAACAACAACGCAUCAACGGGACUUCCCCGCUAUACGGCUCGCCAGUGUCAGAUAUAUAACUAGUUCGAAAAUAAAUUUUUUCAGACCGAAAUCUCUGAUGUGAGCAGCCAACUUUUUCCCAACACAUUCCAUACUCUCCUCACCUUAUACCACGCUGUAUUCAUAUAUCUGUAUACAUGUAUACUCUGUGCUGUGUAAACUCCUGUAACCUCUGAGAGUCGAAAUAAACUAUAUAGAAAGAAUUUUUUG
This 1820-nucleotide unclassified non-coding RNA is filed under the name Neodiprion pinetum (white pine sawfly). RNAcentral describes it as "leucine-rich repeat-containing protein 15-like, transcript variant X9". Lineage: Eukaryota; Metazoa; Arthropoda; Insecta; Hymenoptera; Diprionidae. The record is from RNAcentral.